Molecule: ribosomal RNA, 465 nt
Filed under: Vreelandella stevensii
Lineage: Bacteria; Pseudomonadati; Pseudomonadota; Gammaproteobacteria; Oceanospirillales; Halomonadaceae
Description: partial 16S ribosomal RNA
Rfam family: Bacterial small subunit ribosomal RNA
Source: RNAcentral
CCUACGGGGGGCUGCAGUGGGGAAUAUUGGACAAUGGGGGCAACCCUGAUCCAGCCAUGCCGCGUGUGUGAAGAAGUCCCUCGGGUUGUAAAGCACUUUCAGUGAGGAAGAACGCCUGGUGGUUAAUACCCAUCAGGAAAGACAUCACUCACAGAAGAAGCACCGGCUAACUCCGUGCCAGCAGCCGCGGUAAUACGGAGGGUGCGAGCGUUAAUCGGAAUUACUGGGCGUAAAGGGCGUGUAGGUGGCUUGAUAAGCCGGUUGUGAAAGCCCCGGGCUCAACCUGGGAACGGCAGCCGGAACUGUCAAGCUAGAGUGCAGGAGAGGAAAGUAGAAUUCCCGGUGUAGCGGUGAAAUGCGUAGAGAUCGGGAGGAAUACCAGUGGCGAAGGCGGCCUUCUGGACUGACACUGACACUGAGGUGCGAAAGCGUGGGGAGCAAACAGGAUUAGAUACCCGUGUAGUC